UACGGAGGGCGCAAGCGUUGUUCGGAAUCAUUGGGCGUAAAGCGGGUGUAGGCUGCUUGACAAGUCGGGUGUGAAAUCCCAGGGCCCAACCCUGGAACUGCACUCGAAACUGUCUCGCUAGAGUCCCGGAGAGGAUGGCAGAAUUCCCGGUGUAGAGGUGAAAUUCGUAGAUAUCGGGAGGAAUACCAGUGGCGAAGGCGGCCAUCUGGACGGUGACUGACGCUCAGACCCGAAAGCGUGGGGAGCAAACAGGAUUAGAUACCCCCGUA
RNAcentral lists this ribosomal RNA (269 nucleotides) under uncultured prokaryote. RNAcentral describes it as "partial 16S ribosomal RNA". It matches the Rfam family "Bacterial small subunit ribosomal RNA", at positions 524 to 792 of the family's 1533-position model. The record is from RNAcentral.